ACUACGGUGCUGAAGUAACAAAUGCCCUGCUUCCAGGAAAAGCCUCUAAGCAUCAGGUAACAUCAAAUCGUACCCCAAACCGACACAGGUGGUCAGGUAGAGAAUACCAAGGCGCUUGAGAGAACUCGGGUGAAGGAACUAGGCAAAAUGGUGCCGUAACUUCGGGAGAAGGCACGCUGGUGUGUAGGUGAAGUCCCUGCGGAUGGAGCUGAGACCAGUCGAAGAUACCAGCUGGCUGCAACUGUUUAUUAAAAACACAGCACUGUGCAAACACGAAAGUGGACGUAUACGGUGUGACGCCUGCCCGGUGCCGGAAGGUUAAUUGAUGGGGUUAUCCGUAAGGAGAAGCUCUUGAUCGAAGCCCCGGUAAACGGCGGCCGUAACUAUAACGGUCCUAAGGUAGCGAAAUUCCUUGUCGGGUAAGUUCCGACCUGCACGAAUGGCGUAAUGAUGGCCAGGCUGUCUCCACCCGAGACUCAGUGAAAUUGAACUCGCUGUGAAGAUGCAGUGUACCCGCGGCAAGACGGAAAGACCCCGUGAACCUUUACUAUAGCUUGACACUGAACAUUGAGCCUUGAUGUGUAGGAUAGGUGGGAGGCUUUGAAGCGUGGACGCCAGUCUGCGUGGAGCCAACCUUGAAAUACCACCCUUUAAUGUUUGAUGUUCUAACGUUGGCCCCUGACCGGGGUUGCGGACAGUGUCUGGUGGGUAGUUUGACUGGGGCGGUCUCCUCCCAAAGCGUAACGGAGGAGCACGAAGGUUAGCUAAUCCUGGUCGGACAUCAGGAGGUUAGUGCAAUGGCAUAAGCUAGCUUGACUGCGAGCGUGACGGCGCGAGCAGGUGCGAAAGCAGGUCAUAGUGAUCCGGUGGUUCUGAAUGGAAGGGCCAUCGCUCAACGGAUAAAAGGUACUCCGGGGAUAACAGGCUGAUACCGCCCAAGAGUUCAUAUCGACGGCGGUGUUUGGCACCUCGAUGUCGGCUCAUCACAUCCUGGGGCUGAAGUAGGUCCCAAGGGUAUGGCUGUUCGCCAUUUAAAGUGGUACGCGAGCUGGGUUUAGAACGUCGUGAGACAGUUCGGUCCCUAUCUGCCGUGGGCGCUGGAGAAUUGAGGGGGGCUGCUCCUAGUACGAGAGGACCGGAGUGGACGCAUCACUGGUGUUCGGGUUGUCAUGCCAAUGGCACUGCCCGGUAGCUAAAUGCGGAAGAGAUAAGUGCUGAAAGCAUCUAAGCACGAAACUUGCCCCGAGAUGAGUUCUCCCUGAGACUUUAAGUCUCCUGAAGGAACGUUGAAGACGACGACGUUGAUAGGCCGGGUGUGUAAGCGCAGCGAUGCGUUGAGCUAACCGGUACUAAUGAACCGUGAGGCUUAACCUU
Molecule: ribosomal RNA, 1374 nt
Filed under: Klebsiella pneumoniae
Lineage: Bacteria; Pseudomonadati; Pseudomonadota; Gammaproteobacteria; Enterobacterales; Enterobacteriaceae
Description: partial 23S ribosomal RNA
Rfam family: Bacterial large subunit ribosomal RNA
Source: RNAcentral